UGGGGAAUUUUGGACAAUGGGCGAAAGCCUGAUCCAGCAAUGCCGCGUGUGUGAAGAAGGCCUUCGGGUUGUAAAGCACUUUUGUCCGGAAAGAAAUCCUUGGCUCUAAUACAGUCGGGGGAUGACGGUACCGGAAGAAUAAGCACCGGCUAACUACGUGCCAGCAGCCGCGGUAAUACGUAGGGUGCAAGCGUUAAUCGGAAUUACUGGGCGUAAAGCGUGCGCAGGCGGUUUGCUAAGACCGAUGUGAAAUCCCCGGGCUCAACCUGGGAACUGCAUUGGUGACUGGCAGGCUAGAGUAUGGCAGAGGGGGGUAGAAUUCCACGUGUAGCAGUGAAAUGCGUAGAGAUGUGGAGGAAUACCGAUGGCGAAGGCAGCCCCCUGGGCCAAUACUGACGCUCAUGCACGAAAGCGUGGGGAGCAAACAGGAUUAGAUACCCUGGUAGUCCACGCCCUAAACGAUGUCAACUAGUUGUUGGGGAUUCAUUUCCCUAGUAACGUAGCUAACGCGUGAAGUUGACCGCCUGGGGAGUACGGUCGCAAGAUUAAAA
RNAcentral lists this ribosomal RNA (551 nucleotides) under uncultured bacterium. Its description in RNAcentral is "partial 16S ribosomal RNA". It matches the Rfam family "Bacterial small subunit ribosomal RNA", at positions 355 to 899 of the family's 1533-position model. The record is from RNAcentral.